RNAcentral lists this ribosomal RNA (489 nucleotides) under uncultured bacterium. Its description in RNAcentral is "bacterial SSU rRNA". It matches the Rfam family "Bacterial small subunit ribosomal RNA", at positions 28 to 513 of the family's 1533-position model. The record is from RNAcentral.
GAUGAACGCUAGCGGCAGGCUUAAUACAUGCAAGUCGUGGGGCAGCAUGAGUAGCAAUACUUGAUGGCGACCGGCAAACGGGUGAGGAACACGUACACAACCUUCCUUCAAGCGGGGAAUAGCCCAGAGAAAUUUGGAUUAAUACCCCAUAAUAUAUUUGAUAAGGCAUCUUAUUAAUAUUAAAGCUUCGGCACUUGAUGAUGGGUGUGCGGCUGAUUAGAUAGUUGGCGGGUAACGGCCCACCAAGUCUACGAUCAGUAGCUGAUGUGAGAGCAUGAUCAGCCACACGGGCACUGAGACACGGGCCCGACUCCUACGGGAGGCAGCAGUAAGGAAUAUUGGGACAAUGGACGAAAGUCUGAUCCAGCCAUGCCGCGUGAAGGAUUAAGGUCCUCUGGAUUGUAAACUUCUUUAUAUGGGACGAAAAAGGGCAUUCUUGUUCACUUGACGGUACCAUAUGAAUAAGCACCGGCUAACUCCGUGCCAGCA